RNAcentral lists this long non-coding RNA (213 nucleotides) under Elaeis guineensis (African oil palm). RNAcentral's name for it is "long non-coding RNA (EGUI_LNC004135)". Lineage: Eukaryota; Viridiplantae; Streptophyta; Magnoliopsida; Arecales; Arecaceae. The record is from RNAcentral.
CUCUUGCGCUGGGUUUGAUCAUCGCAUGGUAUGGACUGCCACAACUAACGCCAGCACUUGGGUGGCUAGAGCAUUGAACUAGUCCUGGUUCUCUUUGGGAGCCGACAGAGGAGGUUGUAGGGAUGCCUCCAAUAGCUAGUACAGAGCAUGAUUUCUGACUGAAGCUUCUGUCACCUGGCAUGCCGUAGCAUUAGGGACGUCUCAAAGAUGCUC